RNAcentral lists this long non-coding RNA (215 nucleotides) under Elaeis guineensis (African oil palm). RNAcentral's name for it is "long non-coding RNA (EGUI_LNC041343)". Lineage: Eukaryota; Viridiplantae; Streptophyta; Magnoliopsida; Arecales; Arecaceae. The record is from RNAcentral.
AAUUUAAAUUUAAUUUAAUUUAAUUUAAUACUAAUUUGGUUCAAUCAUCCAAAUCAGAGUUGGAUUUCAAGCUUGAUUGGAUUAGGCUUGACAGCCUUUCGAAUUCGACUCGAUUUAGAUUCGAUUUGAAUCCAAUUAAGAUCUAACUUGAAUUAGAAGAAUCAUGAUUCAGAGAGCCCAGGUUUCCUAAGAUUCUCUCCCCAGAAUUCACCCCA